AGCGAACGCUGGCGGCAGGCCUAACACAUGCAAGUCGAACGGAUCCUUCGGGAUUAGUGGCGGACGGGUGAGUAACACGUGGGAACGUGCCCUUUGGUUCGGAACAACUCAGGGAAACUUGAGCUAAUACCGGAUGUGCCCUUCGGGGGAAAGAUUUAUCGCCAUUGGAGCGGCCCGCGUCUGAUUAGCUAGUUGGUGAGGUAACGGCCCACCAAGGCGACGAUCAGUAGCUGGUCUGAGAGGAUGAUCAGCCACACUGGGACUGAGACACGGCCCAGACUCCUACGGGAGGCAGCAGUGGGGAAUCUUGCGCAGUGGGCGAAAGCCUGACGCAGCCAUGCCGCGUGAAUGAUGAAGGUCUUAGGAUUGUAAAAUUCUUUCAGCGGGGACGAUAAUGACGGUACCCGCAGAAGAAGCUCCGGCUAACUUCGUG
This 433-nucleotide ribosomal RNA is filed under the name uncultured bacterium. RNAcentral's name for it is "partial 16S ribosomal RNA". It matches the Rfam family "Bacterial small subunit ribosomal RNA", at positions 29 to 507 of the family's 1533-position model. The record is from RNAcentral.